RNAcentral lists this small nuclear RNA (163 nucleotides) under Castor canadensis (American beaver). RNAcentral's name for it is "U1 spliceosomal RNA (ENSCCNG00000007987.1)". It matches the Rfam family "U1 spliceosomal RNA". From Rfam's summary of the family: U1 is a small nuclear RNA (snRNA) component of the spliceosome (involved in pre-mRNA splicing). Its 5' end forms complementary base pairs with the 5' splice junction, thus defining the 5' donor site of an intron. The record is from Rfam by way of RNAcentral. Lineage: Eukaryota; Metazoa; Chordata; Mammalia; Rodentia; Castoridae.
AUACUUACCUGGCAGGUGAGAUACCAGGAUCAUGAAGGUGCCUUCCCAAGGAUGAAGCUUAUCAUUUUCAGUCCAGAUGUGCUCAUCCUGUCAUUUCCCCAAUUGAGGCAAACUUGACUGCAUAAUUUGUGGUAGUGGGGGACUGCAUUCUCACUAACCCCCG